GACGAACGCUGGCGGCGUGCUUAACACAUGCAAGUCGAACGGAAAGGCCCUGCUUUUGUGGGGUGCUCGAGUGGCGAACGGGUGAGUAACACGUGAGUAACCUGCCCUUGACUUUGGGAUAACUUCAGGAAACUGGGGCUAAUACCGGAUAGGAGCUCCUGCUGCAUGGUGGGGGUUGGAAAGUUUCGGCGGUUGGGGAUGGACUCGCGGCUUAUCAGCUUGUUGGUGGGGUAGUGGCUUACCAAGGCUUUGACGGGUAGCCGGCCUGAGAGGGUGACCGGCCACAUGGGGACUGGGAAACGGCCCAGACUCCUACGGGGGGCACGAGGGGGGAAUAUUGCACAAGGGGCGGAAGCCUGUGGCAGCAACGCCGGGUGGGGGAGGACGGCCUUCGGGUGGUAAACCGCUUUCGCCUGUGACGAAGCGUGAGGGACGGUAAUUGGUAAAGAAGCACCGGCUAACUACGU
Molecule: ribosomal RNA, 467 nt
Filed under: uncultured bacterium
Lineage: Bacteria
Description: partial 16S ribosomal RNA
Rfam family: Bacterial small subunit ribosomal RNA
Source: RNAcentral